AAGAAAGGGUCGUAGCUUACUUUUCCAUUCCAAUUUCAGUCUCCCUCCCACCUCUUUUCCCCAAUUUCAAUCUCCCUCCAACACCUCCAAAACCCUAAAAUCUCAAACUCACUCACUCACCAAUCUCAAUUUUCGCUCAGUCGCUCAAUCGCUCAAUUUUCGCUCCGUCGCUCAGUCGCCAUUCACCAACUCAGUCGCUCAGUCGCCGUUCACCAACUCAGUCGCUCCUCACUCCUUCCUCCUUCCUUUUCCUCGUUAUGGCUUCACACGCUCUCGCUCUCACACUCCCAACCUAGCCUACACACUCGAUUCAUAUUCUUGUCACUUCCAAACCUAGCUUCUCACAAUCGGUCCAAUAGUUCCAAUCGGUGCUACAAUUGCUCAGUUUCCAACUCACUCAGUCCACAAUCCAUCAUCGUUGAUUUUAUUGCUCUAAAAGCCUGUGUGGUCGUUUUUUGUUCUUCUUCUAGAAGCCGUGUCCGCCGUGUUCUCAAUCGCUCAAGAAACCACUGUCGCCGUCCUUCCUUCCUUCAUUCACUGUAUACCGCUGCCGCCGUUCAUCAGGAACUUGGAUCAACUUGAGGUGUUAUCGAAGAAAUAGGAGAAGCUUAAUCAAAGACUAUAAGAGCCAAGGCGUCUUCACAAUCCAUUGCUGCAACUAGACUGUUUAGGCAAGCAGACAGGGAUGUCUGGACGAGACAAGGAUAAGGGUAAGGCUCAUGUUGUAGAUCAUGGGAAGCCGAAGAAAAAGAAGAAUGGAAGAAUAGAUGUUUCCUCAGACCCUACGACGACAAUGAUGAUGAUGAUGAUCAUGAUGAUGAGGAGGAGGACGAGGACGAGGAGAGGGAUGAUGAUCAUAACGAGUAAUUUAUAUUCUUUUCAGUUGCUGUUUUUUGGUUAGGGAUUUUGGGCACUUUUGGGGUGUUUUAGGUGGUUACUGUCAAAGAAAAUUUAACUUGCAUAUAUGAAUUUUGUUUUAUGUAAUUAUUUAUCAACAUGACAUGUUAUCAAAAAAUUUGGGUUAUUUUCAAAUUUUGGCGCA
Long non-coding RNA from Medicago truncatula (barrel medic), 1042 nucleotides. RefSeq lists it as uncharacterized. The transcript has 4 exons. The record is from RefSeq and is a predicted model, not a curated record. Lineage: Eukaryota; Viridiplantae; Streptophyta; Magnoliopsida; Fabales; Fabaceae.